This 253-nucleotide ribosomal RNA is filed under the name uncultured bacterium. RNAcentral's name for it is "partial 16S ribosomal RNA". It matches the Rfam family "Bacterial small subunit ribosomal RNA", at positions 524 to 776 of the family's 1533-position model. The record is from RNAcentral.
UACGUAGGGUCCGAGCGUUGUCCGGAAUUAUUGGGCGUAAAGGGCUCGUAGGCGGUUUGUCGCGUCGGGAGUGAAAACACCGGGCUUAACUCGGUGCUUGCUUUCGAUACGGGCAGACUGGAGGUAUGCAGGGGAGAACGGAAUUCCUGGUGUAGCGGUGAAAUGCGCAGAUAUCAGGAGGAACACCGGUGGCGAAGGCGGUUCUCUGGGCAUUACCUGACGCUGAGGAGCGAAAGCGUGGGGAGCGAACAGG